RNAcentral lists this transfer RNA (73 nucleotides) under Uria lomvia (thick-billed guillemot). RNAcentral's name for it is "transfer RNA-Glu". The record is from RNAcentral. Lineage: Eukaryota; Metazoa; Chordata; Aves; Charadriiformes; Alcidae.
GUUUCUGUAGUUGAAGCAGUACAACGGUGGCUUUUCGGGCCACAGGUCUUGGAAAAUAAGCCAAGCAGAAACU